RNAcentral lists this ribosomal RNA (496 nucleotides) under uncultured bacterium. RNAcentral describes it as "bacterial SSU rRNA". It matches the Rfam family "Bacterial small subunit ribosomal RNA", at positions 28 to 493 of the family's 1533-position model. The record is from RNAcentral.
GACGAACGCUGGCGGCGUGCUUAACACAUGCAAGUCGAACGAGACGAUUUAGAAGCUUGCUUUUAUUGAGUCGAGUGGCAAACGGGUGAGUAACGCGUAGACAACCUGCCGCAAAGAUGGGGACAACAGUCCGAAAGGACUGCUAAUACCGAAUGUUGUAUCUCCUCCGCAUGGAAGAGAUAUUAAAGAUGGCCUCUACUUGUAAGCUAUCGCUUUGCGAUGGGUCUGCGUCUGAUUAGCUAGUUGGUGGGGCAACGGCCUACCAAGGCGACGAUCAGUAGCCGGUCUGAGAGGAUGAACGGCCACAUUGGAACUGAGACACGGUCCAGACUCCUACGGGAGGCAGCAGUGGGGAAUCUUCCGCAACUGGGCGAAAGCCUGACGGAGCAACGCCGCGUGAGUGAAGAAGGUCUUCGGAUCGUAAAGCUCUGUUGUCGGGGACGAAUGUUGAGACCUAGAACAUAGGUUCAAAUGACGGUACCUGACGAGGAAGCCG